RNAcentral lists this ribosomal RNA (253 nucleotides) under uncultured bacterium. RNAcentral describes it as "partial 16S ribosomal RNA". It matches the Rfam family "Bacterial small subunit ribosomal RNA", at positions 524 to 776 of the family's 1533-position model. The record is from RNAcentral.
GACAGAGGCCCCAAGCGUUAGGCGGAAUCACUGGGCUUAAAGCGUGUGUAGGCGGAUCGUUAAGUGUCUUGUGAAAUCCCACGGCUCACCCGUGGAACUGCUGGGCAUACUAGCGAUCUUGGGCCAACUAGGGGCAGCCGGAACAAGCGGUGGAGCGGUGAAAUGCGUAGAUAUCGCUUGGAACGCCGAAGGUGAAAACAGGCUGCUGGGGUUGCGCCGACGCUGAGACACGAAAGCCAGGGGAGCAAACGGG